GACGAACGCUGGCGGCGUGCUUAACACAUGCAGGCCGAACGAAGAGCGAUGGAAGCUUGCUUCUAUCAAUCUUAGUGGCGAACGGGUGAGUAACGCGUAAUCAACCUGCCCUUCAGAGGGGGACAACAGUUGGAAACGACUGCUAAUACCGCAUACGAUCUAAUCUCGGCAUCGAGGAUAGAUGAAAGGUGGCCUCUACAUGUAAGCUAUCACUGAAGGAGGGGAUUGCGUCUGAUUAGCUAGUUGGAGGGGUAACGGCCCACCAAGGCGAUGAUCAGUAGCCGGUCUGAGAGGAUGAACGGCCACAUUGGGACUGAGACACGGCCCAGACUCCUACGGGAGGCAGCAGUGGGGAAUCUUCCGCAAUGGACGAAAGUCUGACGGAGCAACGCCGCGUGAGCGAUGACGGCCUUCGGGUUGUAAAGCUCUGUUAAUCGGGACGAAAGGCCUCCUUGCGAAUAGUGAGAAGGAUUGACGGUACCGGAAUAGAAAGCCACGGCUAACUACGUG
RNAcentral lists this ribosomal RNA (510 nucleotides) under uncultured bacterium. Its description in RNAcentral is "partial 16S ribosomal RNA". It matches the Rfam family "Bacterial small subunit ribosomal RNA", at positions 28 to 507 of the family's 1533-position model. The record is from RNAcentral.